RNAcentral lists this ribosomal RNA (465 nucleotides) under uncultured bacterium. RNAcentral's name for it is "partial 16S ribosomal RNA". It matches the Rfam family "Bacterial small subunit ribosomal RNA", at positions 28 to 507 of the family's 1533-position model. The record is from RNAcentral.
GAUGAACGCUGGCGGCGUGCUUAACACAUGCAAGUCGAACGAUGAAGCCCAGCUUGCUGGGUGGAUUAGUGGCGAACGGGUGGGUAACACGUGAGUAACCUGCCCUUGACUCUAGGAUAAGCCCGGGAAACUGGGUCUAAUACUGGAUAGGAACGUCUACCGCAUGGUGGGUGUUGGAAAGAAUUUCGGUCAUGGAUGGACUCGCGGCCUAUCAGCUUGUUGGUGAGGUAAUGGCUCACCAAGGCGACGACGGGUAGCCGGCCUGAGAGGGUGACCGGCCACACUGGGACUGAGACACGGCCCAGACUCCUACGGGAGGCAGCAGUGGGGAAUAUUGCACAAUGGGCGAAAGCCUGAUGCAGCGACGCCGCGUGAGGGAUGACGGCCUUCGGGUUGUAAACCUCUUUCAGUAGGGAAGAAGCGAAAGUGACGGUACCUGCAGAAGAAGCACCGGCUAACUACGUG